UCAAGUUGCAGAGAUGUCUGGUCGUGGCAAAGGUGGUAAGGGGCUCGGAAAAGGGGGUGCUAAGCGCCACCGCAAGGUUCUGCGCGACAAUAUCCAGGGCAUCACCAAGCCCGCUAUUCGUCGUCUGGCUCGUCGUGGUGGUGUAAAGCGAAUCUCCGGUCUUAUCUAUGAAGAGACUCGUGGGGUGCUGAAGGUGUUUCUGGAAAAUGUGAUACGGGACGCUGUCACCUACACUGAGCACGCCAAGCGCAAAACUGUCACCGCAAUGGACGUGGUCUACGCGCUUAAGCGCCAGGGACGUUGGUAGCCUAGUCCAUUGGACCACAGAUCCGGACACUCCUCAAUGGCUCGCACUAAGCAGACGGCUCGCAAGUCCACCGGCGGCAAGGCGCCACGCAAGCAGCUGGCCACCAAGGCGGCCCGCAAAAGCGCGCCGGCCACCGGCGGCGUGAAGAAGCCGCACCGCUAUCGGCCCGGCACGGUAGCUCUGCGCGAGAUCCGCCGUUAUCAGAAGUCCACGGAGCUGCUGAUCCGCAAGCUGCCGUUCCAGCGGCUGGUGCGCGAGAUCGCGCAGGACUUCAAGACCGACCUGCGCUUCCAGAGCUCGGCCGUGAUGGCGCUGCAGGAGGCGUGCGAGGCCUACCUGGUGGGGCUCUUCGAGGACACCAACCUUCUCUGCUCUUUCGACAUGUCUGGUCGCGGCAAAGGCGGGAAGGGUCUGGGUAAGGGAGGCGCCAAGCGCCACCGCAAAGUCCUUCGUGAUAACAUCCAGGGCAUUACCAAGCCUGCCAUUCGGCGCCUGGCUCGUCGCGGUGGUGUGAAGCGCAUCUCUGGGCUCAUCUACGAGGAGACUCGCGGGGUGCUGAAGGUGUUCCUGGAGAACGUGAUCCGGGACGCGGUCACCUACACCGAGCACGCCAAGCGCAAGACUGUCACCGCCAUGGACGUGGUCUACGCGCUCAAGCGCCAGGGACGCACCCUCUACGGCUUCGGCGGCUGAGUGUCUGCGUUCUCCCAUAUUCAACAAAAGGUCCUUUUAAGGGCCCCC
This is an RNA transcript of Cervus elaphus (red deer), 1048 nucleotides long. RefSeq lists it as uncharacterized. NCBI's taxonomy places the organism in Eukaryota, Metazoa, Chordata, Mammalia, Artiodactyla, Cervidae. The record is from RefSeq and is a predicted model, not a curated record. The transcript has 4 exons.